Molecule: long non-coding RNA, 3527 nt
Organism: Stegodyphus dumicola
Lineage: Eukaryota; Metazoa; Arthropoda; Arachnida; Araneae; Eresidae
Source: RefSeq, a predicted model, not a curated record
UUCACCUAUAGUUUCGAUUUAGUUUCUAAGGUUGCCAUAGCUGAAAUCAGCAAGGAGUUAGUGAGGCCUACAAAGAAUAAUAAAGAUUGAAAAAAAAUUAUUCUUGCUUUUGCUUAUUGCCUUUUAAAUUAUUAUUUAAAGAAUUUUGCAAGCAACUACAGCUUACAGCCGAGAAUUUCACAUAGACAGUGCAUAUGAAAUGUUCUUCAAAAGACUAUGCUUUAAGUAUUUAUAUGCAUUUAUACUGAGAAAUUUUUUCUGUACAUAAUAUCAAUAAAAAAACUUUUUCAGGCUUUUGGGCACUUCCUGUCAAAUGUAUGAAAAUCAAAACUUCACGUAAUGUAAUAUGUAGAACACAUCACUGUAUGAAUUCAUCAUUAAGAAGUCUAAUUGUACUCAAGAAAUAAAUCAUGUUUGUGUGUCGAAAUUAUGGCAUGCAAACUGGGAAAGAAAGCGUAUUUGUUGGAAAUAUAUCAGAUUAUCUUUUAAUAAACUGGAACUGAAAAUCAAGGUAUAUGAAUGAACUCCUGCAUAGUGGGAAAUAAUAUUUUUAUAAUCACUUGUAUAUAUGCAUAGUAAAGAAAAAGCUAAUGUGAAGUAUCCAAGAACUAAUCUGAGUAAAAUUCAAUUUAAUCUGCUCUUUGUAUUUAACCUUUCCACAUCUGCAAGAUUAAGCAUUUCUUUCUUCCCAAAUAUGUGUGACAUCUGUCAGUGUUAAAUUUGCAAUGUGAGCUAUGUUAGUUUAGGCCCACUACAAUGUAUAACUGGAAUGCAUGCACAGCUCAUUGAUAACCGUCAAAAGGUUAAUGUAGAACACAAACAUCAUCAUAUGGUAAGUAAGAAGUCGCAGUAUCAAAGCUGUUAGUGAAGAAACUACAUUAACAAUUGAUUUAGAAAAAAGCUUGUUAUGAACGUAUAUAUAUGUACUUGUCUGCAAAUAAAAGGUAUGACAUGUAUGUGGUAUGGUAUAAAUAAAUUUAUAUGUGCUACUUUUUCAUACAAGGCAGAAAUAUUGUGCGGUGAGUCAUUUUGGAAAAGGACUGAUUUAAUGAAUUUCCACAUACGAGAAAACAAACUCAUGUAUGUAGUCAGCAAUUUGGAAUAAGGAGAAUUUAUAAGCAAAACAUAUUUAUCCACUCAAAAUCUUCAUCUUUGUGAAUGUUAAGCAUAUUAUGAUGUUACAAAGAAUGACGUGAAAGUCUUGGCUUCACAUUUAAAUUAGAAGAUUGUAUCUUGGAUUUAAAAAAAAAUCCUGUGUUUUUAGAAAGAAAUUAAAUACAAGGAAUCCUCUUAUGGUGACAUCUUCCUUAGUAGGCCAUCUAUAAAAGUGGUCGGUAUUUCUGAGAACGGCGACUACCAUGAAGGCACGCUAGGGAAGCGGGAGAAAUACCUUAUAAGGUAUUGAUUGUAAAUAGGAUAAUUAAAUGCAAUAUAUCCAUAAUUAUGUUACAUAAUUUUAUUAUUAAUAAAAUUCAUAAUAUAAUUAUUAUUUAUAUUAAGAUAACUGCCAUUAACAUAAUGUAUUUGUCACGUAAUAAUUAUUUAUAUACCUGAAGAUGCUAUAAUAGGUAGAACAGCAUAGCCAUAGGAGUCGGAACUGGCACCCCCCCUGUAAUUUGAACUGGCUAUGCCCUUGAUAUGUAUUAGUCAAGAACACAUCCCAUUUUUUGUAAAUUUGUUUAAUCUAAUAUUCUUAAUCUUUUCCCGUGGGCAACAGAGACCAAUUUUGGCUCUAGUGUAGAAUUGUGUGCACCUUCGAUUAGCGACAAAUUUUGUUCAGUUUUGGUGAUGAAACCCUAUUUCUGGUUACCAUGAUAAUUUUAACUUUGUUUUAGUUUCCUGAUAUUUUUUUAAUGAAAAUAGAUCAAUGUGUACAUGGACAAAGUUAAGGAAGUGCGCAGUGCCUAGUUUGUGAUAUUCUCUGAUUUUUUUAAGUGCAAAUAGAUCAAUGUGUACAUGGGCACCGAGUUUGUCCAAUUCUUUUACUUCUAAUUUUGGUUUUGUGUAGUAGCCAUCUUAAAAUUGUGACUUCCUGGCGCCGAUCUUGGCGCCAAAAAAUAAUCUCCAAAAAAACAAAGGGCACCCAAUUGUCAACUUUUACCCCAAUUUUUUAUGUAUUGGGCUAUUUAUUCAACUAUGUUAACAGGAAGGAGCAGAAAAACAAAUCAGCAUGAUCUUACACUUCCUAUUCGAUAUUAAAGAGUAAAUUUUAAAUCUUCACAAUUUACUGUUAUUUCUUGAGACACAUUUAAAAUAGUGUACGUGCGGGAUAUAUAUGUCCCAGCCCCCUGGGAAAGGAAUUAUAAUUGUGAUGUUUUUUUAAUUUGUACAGGGUAGGGAGGUAUACCUUCUAUAUUUUGCAAACAAUAGUAGCACCAAAAAGAUUGCCACAACCUUGCCUGUGUGACGCAUUUAAGAAUACAUUUUUGCCCAUGGUUAAAAGUAUGUACUCACCCCUAAAUAAAAGGAUCGUAUUGCCAUAUUUAAUGUUUUGUCCCCAAAUAAAUUUCACUCAAAUCUGACUGCAACAUUCUAGGCAAUCAAUACAGUUGACAGUUCGCAAAAAUUAAAUGUAUCCAUAAUUCAAAGCAAAAUAAACUUAUUAAUGUUUUGUUUCUAUAAACAGCUUAUUUGGCCGCCUUAUUGUAUGGGCCUAUAUCACCUACCUUACAGCCAGCAUUCAUUUUACUACAUAGCUAUCUUGGUUUUGAAGGAGUUAUUUUUUAUUUUUAUGUGUCUCAUCUUGUAGACGAUCAGUGUACUAUUGACUAAAUAUAAUAAUAAUACUGAUUUAAUUAUAGUGUGUUUCAUAUGUAGUUAUAACUAUUUGAGUGCAUGAUUGAAUUCCAUUAUAAGAAAAUUAUUUUUUUCUUAAAAGGGCAUUUUUCACAAAUAUUCUGAUGAGGCAAUAUAUAUUAUUUUGAAAAAAAAAAUUAUGUUUUCCAUCUCAUACUUCAGUGAAACAUUGUUUCUCAAAGCUAUAUUGGAGCAAGCACAGCUAACUGUGGCUUAAUAUCCAAACGAAGCUGUUUGGCUUUUAGUCUACAUCUUAUGCCAUGACUGUCAGUAGUUUUAAUUUUGGAAAUAAUGGCGAAAAAUUGUUUAGCGCAAUACAUUUUCAAAUUACAAUAUGCAUAUAAUUAUUUGAAGAAGUAUGUUUCCUCUGACUUAUAUUCAUGCUGAAAGUUUUUUUAGAAUUAGUAUUGUUGACCUUGUAAAUGUAGAAACACAUUAAUGGUGUGUAUGUGUGAUGUUAACAUAUGACAUGAUUAUGUAUGUUGCAUAAGGAAAAAAUGUAAUUUGAGAUCUGAAAAAAUGGAAUGUAAUGUUCCUGCCAAAUACUUGGCAAGUUGAGAGGUAAUUUUAAUUAACAGGAGAGUUAAAAGACAAUUUUUAAAAAAAUGUAUGUAUGCUCAAACUCCUUGUAUACUAAACUCAUAUUUUUCUUGUAAAAUAUUGUAAAAGUACCAACUAAAUUGUCUUCACUAGUAACAGUAACAACUAAUAAAGGUAUUCUUUGCUUUCAA